GUGCUCACUUUGGCAGCACGUAUGCUAAAUUAGAAUGAUCUAGGGAAGAUUAGUAUGGCCCCUGUGCAGGGAUGACAUACAAAUUUGUGAAGCAUUCCAUAUUUAA
Molecule: small nuclear RNA, 106 nt
Organism: Nannospalax galili (Upper Galilee mountains blind mole rat)
Lineage: Eukaryota; Metazoa; Chordata; Mammalia; Rodentia; Spalacidae
Source: Ensembl